UACCGAGUAUAUAUAAAAAGAACAUUAAAUUUGAUUUUGAUUUUUCUUUAACUGUAUAAAUAAUAUAAACAUACUUAGAUUUCUAUGACAAUUUAAUUGAUUUUUGUUGUUUUUUUCGUAGUAUUUAGUUCUGAAUAACUCAUUAGGGUGAGGUUCGGUAAUUUAUAAGUUAGGUCGGUUAAAAUUGUGCCAGCUACCGCGGUUAGACAGAGGACCUUAGUUAAACUUUUUGAUUUUUAAAAUUAUGAGUUUUUAAUACUUAUUAUAUUUAUCUUGAAAGGUAGAAUUUUUAUAGUUGGGGAUAAUAGGUUAGUUUUUGUUUUUUUGAAGCUUUGAUUAUAGACCAGGAUUAGAUACCCUGUUAUUUUAAGGUGUAAAGGAAAUUAGGGUAGUAAUUGUUGAUCAUGAAACCUAAAAAAUUUGGCGGUGCUUUAAGCUGUUCAGAGGAAUCUGCUCUGUAAUCGAUGGUCCUCGUUUAAUUUUACUUUAUUUUGUUAUUACAGUUUGUAUACCGCCGUCUUUGAUUGCCUUUAUAGAGUUAAAGCUAUCGUUUAAAAUUUAUUUUUUAUGUCAGGUCAAGGUGCAGCUUAUGGUAAAGGUUGAAGUGGAUUACAAUUAAUUUAUUAAUACGGAUGUUUUAUUGAAAGGAUAGAAUUGAAGGUGGAUUUGAAAGUAAUUUUUUAUUAAAUAUGUAAUUGUGAAUAGGGCUCUAAGGCAUGUACACAUCGCCCGUCGCUCUCGCUUUUAGGUGAGAUAAGUCGUAACAUAGUAGAUGUAUUGGAAAAUGUAUCUAGGAGGG
This is a non-coding RNA of Limulus polyphemus (Atlantic horseshoe crab), 799 nucleotides long. Lineage: Eukaryota; Metazoa; Arthropoda; Merostomata; Xiphosura; Limulidae. The record is from the annotation of a RefSeq genome assembly.